UAGAUUGUCCAAUUUCUUUCUUCCUUCUCUUAUUAAGAUAAGUCCAAAUAUAGUAAGGGCAAGUCCAAUUUAGGACAAGGGCUUAAGAAGAUAGUAAAGGAAGACAAAAAGAUAAGAAAGGUAGAGAAAGACAAAAGCCAAGGGAGGAGGGUGUUUAGAAAAACAUAAGAGGAGUGUUGUGCUACCCAAAUUAAUGAAGAAAAGUCUUGAAGGAGUUUGUAUCC
RNAcentral lists this long non-coding RNA (224 nucleotides) under Elaeis guineensis (African oil palm). Its description in RNAcentral is "long non-coding RNA (EGUI_LNC037242)". The record is from RNAcentral. Lineage: Eukaryota; Viridiplantae; Streptophyta; Magnoliopsida; Arecales; Arecaceae.